This 103-nucleotide ribosomal RNA is filed under the name Providencia rettgeri. Its description in RNAcentral is "partial 16S ribosomal RNA". It matches the Rfam family "Bacterial small subunit ribosomal RNA", at positions 1 to 98 of the family's 1533-position model. Lineage: Bacteria; Pseudomonadati; Pseudomonadota; Gammaproteobacteria; Enterobacterales; Morganellaceae. The record is from RNAcentral. RNAcentral also lists the same sequence under 2 other names.
UAAUUGAAGAGUUUGAUCAUGGCUCAGAUUGAACGCUGGCGGCAGGCCUAACACAUGCAAGUCGAGCGGUAACAGGGGAAGCUUGCUUCUCGCUGACGAGCGG